UGGGGAAUUUUGCACAAUGGGGGAAACCCUGAUGCAGCGACGCCGCGUGAUUUAGAAGGCCUUCGGGUUGUAAAAAUCUUUUCUAUGGGAAGAAAAUGACAGUACCAUAGGAAUAAGGACCGGCUAAUUACGUGCCAGCAGCCGCGGUAAUACGUAAGGUCCGAGCGUUGUCCGGAAUCAUUGGGCGUAAAGGGUACGUAGGCGGGUAAGCAAGUUAGAAGUGCAAUCCUGUAGCUCAACUACAGUAAGCUGUUAAAACAGCUCAUCUGGAGAUAAGGAGGGGAAAGUGGAAUUCCUGGUGUAGCGGAGAAAUGCGCAGAUAUUAGGAGGAACACCGGUGACGAAGGCGACUUUCUGGACAUAAUCUGACGCUGUGGUAAGAAAGCGUGGGUAGCAAACAGG
This 402-nucleotide ribosomal RNA is filed under the name Bacteroidota bacterium. RNAcentral describes it as "Bacteroidetes bacterium partial 16S ribosomal RNA". It matches the Rfam family "Bacterial small subunit ribosomal RNA", at positions 355 to 776 of the family's 1533-position model. The record is from RNAcentral. Lineage: Bacteria; Pseudomonadati; Bacteroidota.